Molecule: non-coding RNA, 33 nt
Organism: Weissella cibaria
Lineage: Bacteria; Bacillati; Bacillota; Bacilli; Lactobacillales; Lactobacillaceae
Source: Rfam
CUCUGGUUCUUAUGGAUCCAGGGCGAUAAGGAG